Molecule: ribosomal RNA, 442 nt
Filed under: uncultured bacterium
Lineage: Bacteria
Description: bacterial SSU rRNA
Rfam family: Bacterial small subunit ribosomal RNA
Source: RNAcentral
AACGCGAAGAACCUUACCAGCUUUUGACAUGUCCUGGACGGAUUGCAGAGAUGCGAUCUUCCCUUCGGGGCCGGGAACACGGGUGCUGCAUGGCUGUCGUCAGCUCGUGUCGUGAGAUGUUGGGUUAAGUCCCGCAACGAGCGCAACCCUUGUCCUGUGUUGCCACUCCGUAAGGAAGCACUCUCAGGAGACCGCCAGCGAUAAGUUGGAGGAAGGUGGGGAUGAUGUCAAGUCAUCAUGGCCUUUAUGUCCAGGGCUACACACGUGCUACAAUGGUCGGUACAAAGCGCUGCAAACCCGCGAGGGGGAGCUAAUCGCAAAAAGCCGGCCUCAGUUCGGAUUGCAGGCUGCAACUCGCCUGCAUGAAGCUGGAAUCGCUAGUAAUGCCGUAUCAGAAUGAUGGCGUGAAUACGUUCCUGGGCCUUGUACACACCGACGCGUA